This 519-nucleotide ribosomal RNA is filed under the name uncultured eukaryote. RNAcentral's name for it is "SSU rRNA". It matches the Rfam family "Eukaryotic small subunit ribosomal RNA", at positions 1161 to 1697 of the family's 1831-position model. The record is from RNAcentral.
AGGGCACCACCAGGAGUGGAGCCUGCGGCUUAAUUUGACUCAACACGGGAAACCUCACCCGGCCCGGACACUGGAAGGAUUGACAGAUUGAGAGCUCUUUCUUGAUUCAGUGGGUGGUGGUGCAUGGCCGUUCUUAGUUGGUGGAGUGAUUUGUCUGGUUAAUUCCGAUAACGAACGAGACUCUAGCCUAUUAAAUAGAUCGUUGGCUUACAAACGCCGGCGAGACUUCUUAGAGGGACAGGCGGCGAUUCAGCCGCACGAAACAGAGCAAUUUUUUUUUCUGUGAUGCCCUUAGAUGUCCGGGGCCGCACGCGCGCUACACUGAAGUGAUCAGCGUGCAUUUUGAAACCUACUCUGUCAAGAGUGGGGAACCCAAUGAACCUUCUUCGUGAUUGGGAUAGGGGAUUGUAAUUAUUCCCCUUGAACGAGGAAUUCCCAGUAAGCGCGAAUCAUAAGUUUGCGCUGAUUACGUCCCUGCCCUUUGUACACACCGCCCGUCGCUACUACCGAUUGAAUGUU